RNAcentral lists this transfer RNA (130 nucleotides) under Candidatus Aenigmatarchaeota archaeon. RNAcentral describes it as "tRNA-OTHER". It matches the Rfam family "tRNA". Rfam says of the family: Transfer RNA (tRNA) molecules are approximately 80 nucleotides in length. The record is from RNAcentral. Lineage: Archaea; Nanobdellati; Candidatus Aenigmatarchaeota.
GCGGGGGUAGCCAAGUCUGGUCAAAAUGUUCGUGUAGCGAAUAUGAUCAAAGGCGCAGGACGAACUUGCUGUGCGAUACUUAAGAUCCUGUCUCUUAGUGAGUUCGUCGGUUCAAAUCCGGCCCCCCGCA